CCUACGGGAGGCAGCAGUGAGGAAUAUUGGUCAAUGGACGAGAGUCUGAACCAGCCAAGUAGCGUGAAGGAUGACUGCCCUAUGGGUUGUAAACUUCUUUUAUAUGGGAAUAAAACGUUCCACGUGUGGGAUUUUGUAUGUACCAUAUGAAUAAGGAUCGGCUAACUCCGUGCCAGCAGCCGCGGUAAUACGGAGGAUCCGAUCGUUAUCCGGAUUUAUUGGGUUUAAGGGGAGCGUAGGUGGAUUGUUAAGUCAGUUGUGAAAGUUUGCGGCUCAACCGUAAAAUUGCAGUUGAAACUGGCAGUCUUGAGUACAGUAGAGGUGGGCGGAAUUCGUGGUGUAGCGGUGAAAUGCUUAGAUAUCACGAAGAACUCUGAUUGCGAAGGCAGUUCACUGGACUGCAACUGACACUGAGGCUCGAAAGUGUGGGUAUCAAACAGGAUUAGAUACCCCUGUAGUC
RNAcentral lists this ribosomal RNA (460 nucleotides) under uncultured bacterium. Its description in RNAcentral is "partial 16S ribosomal RNA". It matches the Rfam family "Bacterial small subunit ribosomal RNA", at positions 338 to 795 of the family's 1533-position model. The record is from RNAcentral.